AUGACUGACUGUAACUUUUCUUAUAGAUUUGGGUGCAACAUGAGCCAGAUGAAAAAUAAGAUUUUAAAUGUUCUCAAUAAGCAUUCAAAAGAAACACUAAAUAGCUGUUCCUCAGUGAACAGCUUGGCUGCAGACUGCAAAUGUUGUAAACAUCACAAUAAUACCCACAAACCGCACAAAAUGAAACGAUGGAGGAGCCGCAAGGAGAGGACUCAGAUGAGGGCUGGUGGAAGAGAGGCCCCAAAAGCUAAAUCGCAUCACCAUCACCAAAACAUCAAGAACUUUUCACAUUUUCACAACUGUUGUCACAGUAGCUGUUAUUGCACUCCAAGGAAAGGGGAGCCAUAUCCAAACAGAAUUCCUGCACCACAGGAGCCUAGCAUCAUCACAGACAACCGCCUCAUCGGCCACCAUGGGCUGUUCAACCAUGAGGUGAAGUCUGUUGACAUCGAACGCUUGUUAAGUGAGCAGAAGAAACGAGAGAAAAGUAAACAGCAAGUGCCCGAAAAGAGCUGUAUUCUAUCACGUCAAUCUUCAGCAUCUCACAAUCUAUCUCCAUUCUCCAGUAGGGAUUGGUCAGGUAGAGAUACUAAUGAGGCUGUGCAGUGUGCAAGGAUGGCAGACCCUGCUGCAAAUGCCCCAGAGUGCAGGGAAAAAGAGAAGACUCUCAGCCAAGAGUCAGAUAUUACACCAGGCCAGCGACUGCAAAAACCUGAUCCAUCAUCUGGAAGCUAUAAAAGCAUUUUGUCAUCUAACCACAGCUCCCUUGAUGUAGUUGCAUUCAAGAACAAGAAGUACAAUUCUGUGAUGUCUGACAGGUGCACGGAGUCCCCGUUGUCUCCCACCGGUGACAGAGACCAUGUCAAGAAGUUAAAAAAGAAGUUAAAGACACACUUGAUUUCUACUCCUGAUCACACUCCAAAAGAAGAGAAGCCUCCUGUCCUGCCGACACAAGCCCCUGGUCUGCGCCCAAGCCCACUUCAGUGUUCCAGCUCACCCACUACUCAGAGCUUCAACAUAACACACAUAAGUCAGGAUUUCCGCUGUGUAUCAAAGUCCGUCAGUGAAGUUGCAGCGCGUUUGUGCGACUUUCUGCACUUCCCCGUUCUGAGAAAGGGAAACCUAGUGGCAGAAAGCAGGGAGGAGGUGUUGAGAGCACUGCGGGAGAAGCAUGGAGCACACCUUCGGGAGAACCUUCUCAAGGUGAAGCGUUCCCUCGGGGGUGGUGCUGAUCUCACAAGGGCUAUGGCAGAUGAAGAUGCGCUCUUCCCUUCAGAUGCCCCUGAACACCAAUCUGACAAUGCCGUUCAGUUUUGUUUUGAUAUCCAAAGAACCCACAGAAAGACUCCUGAAUGGUUGACAGAGCCCAUGGAUACUUCUACCAGUCUUCUGGACGGUGUCCUCAGACCUAGUUUCUCUCCCACACUCUACAUGAACUGUGAGCCCCCUGAGGUCUCAGCAAAUAAUCAUUCGUUCUCUAAUUCUGCCGACUCAUGUUGGGCAGAGUUCUCAUCAUCUCAACACUGGGGGGAAAGUUUCAGCAGGUCGACGAGCAAAGAGUCAUUUUUGUGUGAUUCUUUUGAAAAUAGCUACUUGAACCACAGCAGUGCAUCUACAGGGAGCUUCAGGCCACAGUAUGGUGGCAACAACAUUCAGCCCUUCUUUACUCACACAGCCCAGCUGACAGACCGACGUGCAGCAGAGCCAGGGCCCUUUUUAACUGACAGGUACUCAAAUUAUCAGUCUUUUUGCGCCCAAAAUCGCCAUCCCACCCAGAGCAACAACUUUCAUACAUUCAGCCAAUUCACCCAGCCCUCAAGUUGCCCAUCACUUAGGCCCCACUACACUGACAUGAUACAUUAUCCCCCAUCUCACAUGCUUGAAAUAGAGGCAGCACCUCCCUUGUCCUCUUUACCGAGCCCUGAACCCUGGUCCUUCCCUCCAAUGAGACUGUACUGAUGUUUGGUGAAUGUCACUAAUAAAUGUAGUAGCACAAGUGUUACCUCUUCUAUU
Betta splendens (Siamese fighting fish) is the source of this 2013-nucleotide long non-coding RNA. Ensembl lists it as uncharacterized. Lineage: Eukaryota; Metazoa; Chordata; Actinopteri; Anabantiformes; Osphronemidae. The record is from Ensembl.